RNAcentral lists this ribosomal RNA (473 nucleotides) under Triturus marmoratus (marbled newt). Its description in RNAcentral is "partial 16S ribosomal RNA". It matches the Rfam family "Bacterial large subunit ribosomal RNA", at positions 1853 to 2547 of the family's 2925-position model. The record is from RNAcentral. Lineage: Eukaryota; Metazoa; Chordata; Amphibia; Caudata; Salamandridae.
UCUGGCCUGCCCAGUGAUAGAUUUUAACGGCCGCGGUAUCAUGACCGUGCAAAGGUAGCGUAAUCACUUGUCUUUUAAAUAAAGACCUGUAUGAAAGGCAAAACGAAAAUUCAACUGUCUCUUUAAUCCAAUCAGUAAAAUUAAUCUCUCCGUGCAGAAGCGGAGAUAUUUUUAUAAGACGAGAAGACCCUAUGGAGCUUUAAACAUAAAAUUAACUCCACCCACACCCUUAACCAACAGGUAAAAAGUACAGAUAUGUAGCCAUAAUUUAAGUUUUCGGUUGGGGCGACCACGGAAGAAAGAAAAUCCUCCGCGAUAAACAGCUUAGAACAACACUUCAAGACUAAAACAUUUGUUAUAAAUGAACCACUAAGUGAUCAACGAACCAAGUUACCCUAAGGAUAACAGCGCAAUCCUUUCUAAAAAUCCAUAUCAGAAUGGGUUUACCAACUCGAUGUUGGAUCAGGACACCC